GACGAACGCUGGCGGCGUGCUUAACACAUGCAAGUCGAACGGAAAGGCCCUGCUUUUGUGGGGUGCUCGAGUGGCGAACGGGUGAGUAACACGUGAGUAACCUGCCCUUGACUUUGGGAUAACUUCAGGAAACUGGGGCUAAUACCGGAUAGGAGCUCCUGCUGCAUGGUGGGGGUUGGAAAGUUUCGGCGGUUGGGGAUGGACUCGCGGCUUAUCAGCUUGUUGGUGGGGUAGUGGCCUACCAAGGCUUUGACGGGUAGCCGGCCUGAGAGGGUGAACGGCCACAUUGGGACUGAGGUACGGCCCAGACUCCUACGGGAGGCAGCAGUGGGGAAUAUUGCACAAUGGGCGGAAGCCUGAUGCAGCAACGCCGCGUGCGGGAUGACGGCCUUCGGGUUGUAAACCGCUUUCGCCUGUGACGAAGCGUGAGUGACGGUAAUGGGUAAAGAAGCACCGGCUAACUACGUG
Molecule: ribosomal RNA, 468 nt
Filed under: uncultured bacterium
Lineage: Bacteria
Description: partial 16S ribosomal RNA
Rfam family: Bacterial small subunit ribosomal RNA
Source: RNAcentral